CAGGAGGACCAUCAAAAGGGGCAAAAGGUGUCGGAUUAUUGGAAGAACUUCCAUCUCUGAGUGUCCUAGUUCUAAGCCUCGAAGCAAUCUCUGUCAGGGCUCCUCUUGCAAUAGCUGGAAGCCCAGCAACCUGAAAGCUUGGAACAAAUGUAAAAGCACAAUGAAAUGUUAACAAGUAAAAACUGUAGUUAUAAAGGUAAUAUAUGGAUCUCUGGUGUAGGUAUGGCCAAAUAAAUUACCUGCACAAGCUCCUCAUCAAAAGACAAGUACUUAGGUUUAUCUGCUUUUGAGUAGACUCGGAUUUCAGCCCCAGUCCGUCUUCUCAUUUCAGUAAUUACCUUUCCACCUUCCCCAAUAAUACAACCAACUUUGUUUGAUGGUACAACAAGCCGUGUCGUCAAGUGGUGAUUCUCAGCAAGUGUACUUACUUUACUAUGGAGCAAAAUAAGCGCCUCAAUUGUUGGAGACACUGGAUCAUCUGGAAUCUGGAAAGAAAAUGUAGGAGGAUAUAAUAUUGU
This 518-nucleotide small RNA is filed under the name Oryza sativa Japonica Group (Japanese rice). RNAcentral describes it as "sRNA Os10g0495050". The record is from RNAcentral. Lineage: Eukaryota; Viridiplantae; Streptophyta; Magnoliopsida; Poales; Poaceae.